CCUACGGGGGGCAGCAGCCGAGAAUAUUCGACAAUGGACGAAAGUCUGAUCGAGCGAUACCGCGUGGUGGAUGAAGUGCUUCGGCACGUAAACAUCUUUUAUGAGGGAGGAAGUUAUUGACGUUACCUCAUGAAUAAGGGGCUCCUAACUCUGUGCCAGCAGGAGCGGUAAUACAGAGGCCCCAAGCAUUACCCGGAAUUACUGGGCGUAAAGGGUGCGUAGGUGGUCAUAUUAGUCGUCCGUUAAAACCCCGAGCUUAACUCGGGAUCUGCGGGCGAAACGGUAUGACUCGAGAGCGUGAGAGGUACAGGGAACUCUAGGUGUAGGGGUGAAAUCCGUUGAUAUCUAGGGGAACACCGAAAGCGAAGGCACUGUACUGGCGCGUUUCUGACACUGAUAGCACGAAAGCGUGGGUAGCGAACGGGAUUAGAUACCCCAGU
RNAcentral lists this ribosomal RNA (440 nucleotides) under uncultured bacterium. RNAcentral's name for it is "bacterial SSU rRNA". It matches the Rfam family "Bacterial small subunit ribosomal RNA", at positions 338 to 791 of the family's 1533-position model. The record is from RNAcentral.